UAAACGUUUUUUUUUUAUUGAAUGUUGAAGCAAUAUGUGAAUUUAGAACCAAGGCGGACGCAGAAUGGAUGCUGUUUUGUAAAAUUAAUUAAAGAUUCCAUUAAAAAUGAAGAGCUUGUC
Molecule: long non-coding RNA, 120 nt
Organism: Manduca sexta (tobacco hornworm)
Lineage: Eukaryota; Metazoa; Arthropoda; Insecta; Lepidoptera; Sphingidae
Exons: 2
Source: RefSeq, a predicted model, not a curated record